RNAcentral lists this non-coding RNA (29 nucleotides) under Mus musculus (house mouse). The record is from RNAcentral. Lineage: Eukaryota; Metazoa; Chordata; Mammalia; Rodentia; Muridae.
UUUUUGUUUUUGUAAGAGUUCUUUUAAGG